RNAcentral lists this ribosomal RNA (406 nucleotides) under uncultured bacterium. RNAcentral's name for it is "partial 16S ribosomal RNA". It matches the Rfam family "Bacterial small subunit ribosomal RNA", at positions 30 to 526 of the family's 1533-position model. The record is from RNAcentral.
AUUGAACGCUGGCGGCAGGCCUAACACAUGCAAGUCGAACGAGAGGCGGACGGGUGGGUAAUGUCUGGGCACCUGCCUGAUGGAGGGGGAUAACUACUGGAACCGGUAGCUAAUACCGCAUACCAUCGGAUGUGCCCAGAUGGGAUGAGCUUGUUGGUGGGGUAACGGCUCACAAAGGCGACGAUCCCUAGCUGGUCUGAGAGGAUGACCAGCCACACUGGAACUGAGACACGGCCCAGACUCCUACGGGAGGCAGCAGUGGGGAAUAUCGCACAAUGGGCGAAAGCCUGAUGCAGCAAUGCCGCGUGUAUGAAGAAGGCCUUCGGGUUGUAAAGUACUGUCAGUGGGGAGGCGUUACCCACAGAAGAAGCACCGGCUAACUCCGUGCCAGCAGCCGCGGUAAUUC